UACGGAGGGGGUUAGCGUUGUUCGGAAUUACUGGGCGUAAAGCGCACGUAGGCGGACUAUUAAGUCGAGGGUGAAAUCCCGGGGCUCAACCCCGGAACUGCCUUCGAUACUGGUAGUCUUGAGUUCGAGAGAGGUGAGUGGAAUUCCGAGUGUAGAGGUGAAAAUUCGUAGAUAUUCGGAGGAACACCAGUGGCGAAGGCGGCUCACUGGCCUGGUAUCACGCUGAGGUGCGAAAGCGUGGGGAGCAAACAGGAUUAGAUACCCCCGGUAGUCC
RNAcentral lists this ribosomal RNA (274 nucleotides) under uncultured bacterium. RNAcentral's name for it is "partial 16S ribosomal RNA". It matches the Rfam family "Bacterial small subunit ribosomal RNA", at positions 524 to 796 of the family's 1533-position model. The record is from RNAcentral.